RNAcentral lists this transfer RNA (61 nucleotides) under Carassotrema koreanum. Its description in RNAcentral is "tRNA-Ser". The record is from RNAcentral. Lineage: Eukaryota; Metazoa; Platyhelminthes; Trematoda; Plagiorchiida; Haploporidae.
GGGGGCUUAGACACAGUCGCUGCUAACGACUGUUUGAAUGAUGUAAGUUAUUCGGCCCUCU